GCCGGGUGCGGUGGUACAUGCCUGUAAUCCCAGCAGCUCAGGAGGCUGAGACAGGAGAAUCACAAGUUCAAAGCCAGCCUUAGCAAAAGUGAGGCACUAAGCAAUUUAGUGAGACUCUGUCUCUA
This 125-nucleotide small RNA is filed under the name Marmota monax (woodchuck). Lineage: Eukaryota; Metazoa; Chordata; Mammalia; Rodentia; Sciuridae. The record is from RNAcentral.